RNAcentral lists this transfer RNA (66 nucleotides) under Unio elongatulus. RNAcentral describes it as "tRNA-Asn". The record is from RNAcentral. Lineage: Eukaryota; Metazoa; Mollusca; Bivalvia; Unionida; Unionidae.
AGGAAAGAAGCUACAAUUAGCAAUUAGUUGUUACCUAAUAGAAAGUGAUAUUAUUCACCUUUCCUA